RNAcentral lists this ribosomal RNA (493 nucleotides) under uncultured bacterium. RNAcentral describes it as "partial 16S ribosomal RNA". It matches the Rfam family "Bacterial small subunit ribosomal RNA", at positions 29 to 508 of the family's 1533-position model. The record is from RNAcentral.
AGUGAACGCUGGCGGUAGGCCUAACACAUGCAAGUCGAACGGCAGCACAGUAAGAGCUUGCUCUUAUGGGUGGCGAGUGGCGGACGGGUGAGGAAUACAUCGGAAUCUACUUUUUCGUGGGGGAUAACGUAGGGAAACUUACGCUAAUACCGCAUACGACCUACGGGUGAAAGCAGGGGAUCUUCGGACCUUGCGCGAUUGAAUGAGCCGAUGUCGGAUUAGCUAGUUGGCGGGGUAAAGGCCCACCAAGGCGACGAUCCGUAGCUGGUCUGAGAGGAUGAUCAGCCACACUGGAACUGAGACACGGUCCAGACUCCUACGGGAGGCAGCAGUGGGGAAUAUUGGACAAUGGGCGCAAGCCUGAUCCAGCCAUACCGCGUGGGUGAAGAAGGCCUUCGGGUUGUAAAGCCCUUUUGUUGGGAAAGAAAAGCAGCAGGUUAAUACCCCGCUGUUCUGACGGUACCCAAAGAAUAAGCACCGGCUAACUUCGUGC